Molecule: ribosomal RNA, 495 nt
Filed under: Escherichia coli
Lineage: Bacteria; Pseudomonadati; Pseudomonadota; Gammaproteobacteria; Enterobacterales; Enterobacteriaceae
Description: partial 23S ribosomal RNA
Rfam family: Bacterial large subunit ribosomal RNA
Source: RNAcentral
CGAAUGCUGACAUAAGUAACGAUAAAGCGGGUGAAAAGCCCGCUCGCCGGAAGACCAAGGGUUCCUGUCCAACGUUAAUCGGGGCAGGGUGAGUCGACCCCUAAGGCGAGGCCGAAAGGCGUAGUCGAUGGGAAACAGGUUAAUAUUCCUGUACUUGGUGUUACUGCGAAGGGGGGACGGAGAAGGCUAUGUUGGCCGGGCGACGGUUGUCCCGGUUUAAGCGUGUAGGCUGGUUUUCCAGGCAAAUCCGGAAAAUCAAGGCUGAGGCGUGAUGACGAGGCACUACGGUGCUGAAGCAACAAAUGCCCUGCUUCCAGGAAAAGCCUCUAAGCAUCAGGUAACAUCAAAUCGUACCCCAAACCGACACAGGUGGUCAGGUAGAGAAUACCAAGGCGCUUGAGAGAACUCGGGUGAAGGAACUAGGCAAAAUGGUGCCGUAACUUCGGGAGAAGGCACGCUGAUAUGUAGGUGAAGCGACUUGCUCGUGGAGCUGAA